RNAcentral lists this ribosomal RNA (395 nucleotides) under uncultured bacterium. RNAcentral describes it as "bacterial SSU rRNA". It matches the Rfam family "Bacterial small subunit ribosomal RNA", at positions 28 to 402 of the family's 1533-position model. The record is from RNAcentral.
GAUGAACGCUGGCGGCAUGCCUAAGACAUGCAAGUCGAACGAGAAGGCCCAAUGAUUACUGCGUGCUUGCACAAAGUAUGAUUUGGAUUCCCUUCUAGUGGCAAACGGGUGAGUAACACGUGGGUUACCUACCUCUAAGACGGGGACAACAGUUGGAAACGAUUGCUAAUACCGGAUGUGCUCUACGGAGUAAAGAAGCCCUUAAAGCUUCGCUUAGAGAUGGGCCUGCGGUGCAUUAGCUAGUUGGUGGGUAAUGGCUACCAAGGCGACGAUGCAUAGCCGAACUGAGAGGUUAAUCGGCCACACUGGGACUGAGACACGGCCCAGACUCCUACGGGAGGCAGCAGUGGGGGAUAUUGCACAAUGGGCGAAAGCCUGAUGCAGCAACGCCGCGU